ACUGGAGGCUAGUUGAGAGUUCGCAUCUCAAU
This 32-nucleotide non-coding RNA is filed under the name Rattus norvegicus (Norway rat). Lineage: Eukaryota; Metazoa; Chordata; Mammalia; Rodentia; Muridae. The record is from RNAcentral.